AUCAGAGGUGCGCUGCUCAAGAGUACCCCGGCGGAGGAUGAGGCUCCGGUGAGGCCGGGCGAAAGGGUGCAGCGCCGAAAGGGCGCGGCACGCCCCGGUGCGCUGCCCUUGGGCGCAGGCUGAACAGGUGUGCGACUGUCAUCGGGCGUUGGCCCGGCGGAGCGCUGG
Molecule: non-coding RNA, 168 nt
Filed under: human gut metagenome
Description: Lysine riboswitch
Rfam family: Lysine riboswitch aptamer
About the family: Riboswitches are metabolite binding domains within certain messenger RNAs that serve as precision sensors for their corresponding targets. Allosteric rearrangement of mRNA structure is mediated by ligand binding, and this results in modulation of gene expression.
Source: RNAcentral